Molecule: ribosomal RNA, 377 nt
Filed under: uncultured Pseudomonadota bacterium
Lineage: Bacteria; Pseudomonadati; Pseudomonadota
Description: bacterial SSU rRNA
Rfam family: Bacterial small subunit ribosomal RNA
Source: RNAcentral
UAAUACGGAGGGUCCGAGCGUUAAUCGGAAUUACUGGGCGUAAAGCGUACGUAGGUGGCUUGAUUAGUCGGAUGUGAAAGCCCUGGGCUCAACCUGGGAACUGCAUUCGAUACUGUCAGGCUAGAGUAUAGUAGAGGCAAGUGGAAUUCCGGGUGUAGCGGUGAAAUGCGUAGAUAUCCGGAGGAACACCAGUGGCGAAGGCGGCUUGCUGGACUAAUACUGACACUGAGGUACGAAAGCGUGGGGAGCAAACAGGAUUAGAUACCCUGGUAGUCCACGCCCUAAACGAUGUCAACUAGCCGUUGGAGGAAUUUAAUCCUUUAGUAGCGCAGCUAACGCGAUAAGUUGACCGCCUGGGGAGUACGGUCGCAAGAUUA